ACUCAGCUAUUGAGUCCAGAUUGCCAAAUAGGACGAAACGCGCGUCCUGGAU
Molecule: non-coding RNA, 52 nt
Filed under: Schistosoma mansoni
Lineage: Eukaryota; Metazoa; Platyhelminthes; Trematoda; Strigeidida; Schistosomatidae
Source: RNAcentral